This 559-nucleotide ribosomal RNA is filed under the name uncultured bacterium. RNAcentral's name for it is "bacterial SSU rRNA". It matches the Rfam family "Bacterial small subunit ribosomal RNA", at positions 120 to 674 of the family's 1533-position model. The record is from RNAcentral.
GGGAAACUGCCCGAUGGAGGGGGAUAACUACUGGAAACGGUAGCUAAUACCGCAUAACGUCGCAAGACCAAAGUGGGGGACCUUCGGGCCUCACACCAUCGGAUGUGCCCAGAUGGGAUUAGCUAGUAGGUGGGGUUAUGGCUCACCUAGGCGACGAUCCCUAGCUGGUCUGAGAGGAUGACCAGCCACACUGGAACCGAGACACGGUCCAGACUCCUACGGGAGGCAGCAGUGGGGAAUAUUGCACAAUGGGCGCAAGCCUGAUGCAGCCAUGCCGCGUGUAUGAAGAAGGCCUUCGGGUUGUAAAGUACUUUCAGCGGGGAGGAAGGCGGUGAAGUUAAUAGCUUCACCGAUUGACGUUACCCGCAGAAGAAGCACCGGCUAACUCCGUGCCAGCAGCCGCGGCAAUACGGAGGGUGCAAGCGUUAAUCGGAAUUACUGGGCGUAAAGCGCACGCAGGCGGUCUGUCAAGUCGGAUGUGAAAUCCCCGGGCUUAACCUGGGAACUGCAUUCGAAACUGGCAGGCUAGAGUCUUGUAGAGGGGGGUAGAAUUCCAGGU